This is an RNA transcript of Rhea pennata, 4288 nucleotides long. It is a transcript of the gene named solute carrier family 35 member D1, with no coding region annotated. NCBI's taxonomy places the organism in Eukaryota, Metazoa, Chordata, Aves, Rheiformes, Rheidae. The record is from RefSeq and is a predicted model, not a curated record. The transcript is spliced from 13 exons.
GGGCGGCCGGGGCCGAGGGGGGAGCCCCCGCGGGAGCCCCCGCGCCCGGCGAUGCGGAGCGGGGCAUGGCGCCGCCGGGCCUCAGCGUCUGCCUCCGCCUCCUGGCCGCCGCCUUCUACGGCCUCAGCUCCUUCCUCAUCGUCGUCCUCAACAAGAGCGUCCUCACCGCCUACGGGUUCCCGUCCUCGCUGUGCGUGGGGCUGGGCCAGAUGCUGGCCACCGUGGCGGUGCUGCGGGCGGGCAAGGCGCUGCGCGUGGUCAAGUUCCCCGACUUCGACAGGCACGUACCUCGGCGGACGUUUCCUCUACCUCUCCUGUACUUUGGGAACCAGAUCACAGGACUGUUCAGCACAAAGAAACUGAACCUGCCAAUGUUUACAGUCCUGCGAAGGUUUUCCAUCUUGUUUACAAUGUUUGCUGAAGGAUUUUUACUCAAGAAGAAAUUUUCUUGGGGUAUUCAGAUGACAGUAUUUGCGAUGAUCAUUGGUGCAUUUGUAGCUGCUAGUGCUGACUUGGCAUUUGAUUUGGAAGGAUAUAUUUUUAUCCUUAUUAACGAUGCCUUAACAGCUGCAAAUGGUGCCUAUGUAAAACAGAAGCUGGAUUCAAAGGAGCUGGGAAGAUACGGUCUGCUAUAUUACAAUGCACUGUUCAUGAUACUUCCCACCUUGAUCAUUGCCUAUUUCACUGGAGAUGCGCAAAAGGCGAUGGAGUACCAAGGCUGGGCGGACGCGCUCUUCGUCGUGCAGUUUACGCUGUCGUGUAUAAUGGGGUUUAUUUUGAUGUACUCCACGGUUCUUUGCACUCAGUAUAACUCUGCUCUUACAACUACAAUAGUUGGCUGCAUUAAGAAUAUUUUAAUAACCUAUAUUGGGAUGUUUUUUGGAGGAGACUAUAUUUUUACAUGGACAAACUUCAUUGGUCUAAAUAUCAGUAUUGCUGGAAGCCUGGUGUAUUCCUAUAUCACUUUUACAGAAGAGCAAAUGAACAAGCCGUCUGAAGCAGGCAUCAAGAUGGACAUUAAAGGAAAAAGCUCUGUGUGACCAGGGAAAUGCUUUUCUGGAAAGCAAACUCUUUUUGCUCAGCUGAUCACUGGCAGAAUAGAAUGGACGUUUUCCUCGUCUGCCGCAUUCGAUUCUGCCAGCACGGUGCGGCUGCGCGUUGCCCUCGAGUGGCAAGAGCGUGAAGGGCCGAAGACGACUGAGCUACCGGACUAAGCAGACCGCGUUGCAGCGUCCUCGCGAUAGCACCCGAUCGGGCGCAGCCGGAGGAGCGGGGCGGCAGAGCGCCGGCAGGUUUUCGGCUCUGGUUAUUCUUUGCAGAAGGGCAGAGGGAAAUCUCCUAAGGCAGAAACGACGCUUAGCUACAGUCGGUCCCCUUUUCCCCAGCUAGCCUGAAUUUAGUGGGUUCUUGAAGGCCCGGCUCGGCCGUGCCCCCGGCCUUUCGUGCCCUCCGGGACAGCAGCGUGGAAAGUAGUUUCCCUAUGCAAAGUUUUGCAUGUAUUUUACAGGCAUGAGAGAAACAGUUCGAAGAACUGUCACUGAGUUCAGUUGUGAAAGUUUGUUUGUUUUUUCAGUUCUUCAGAGCAGUAGCAGAGUUAUCCUCUCACAACAGGAUAGUUUUUUCUGAUCACGUGUAAGGAAGAAUACUCAGAGGCUCAGUAAAAGAAAAAAAAACUCAGUAAUUUUUUAUGCAGACAAUGUUUAAAAAAAUAUUUUAAUAAGCUUUUUCAGAAUUGCAGACAGGGAAUGGGGGGUAAGAGGGAAUUACUAACAGUGCAAAAUUACUAUGCGUGGAAAAAAAUGUAUAAAAACUAAUUUGUAAUUUCUUUUAAUAUCACUUUAAAUCCUUUUUGAAGCCCAACAAAGAUUUUUCUGUUGAACUGCGUUUUCAAUUCAGGCUGCACUCUUAAAGCACUUCAUGAAAACAGGACACCUGAUCCAGCUGGACACAUCAUGAUAGUGCUUGAAAAAUAUACAUGUUACAUGCAAGCUGCUGCCUUUCUCAAUGCAGUUUGGAAGCAAGUUCAAACAUUCCUGGGCUCCAAACUGUACUGAAUGCUUUUUAAAACAAAAUCAAAUUUAAUAUAUUUCUAGAUUUUUAAAUAGUUCUAGUAGUGCAAUGACUUAUCAAGUUAUAGUGGCUGUAUUUUGAAGAACAUGAACCAAGUAUUGUAUAAAACAUCCUGCAUAAAUGAAAUGUAAAUUAUAAUUAAAUAAUAUUCUUAAAAAUCUAGCUGAGCAUUAUAUACUGGUUGAUUAUGGAAUGUCAGGUCUCUUCUAGGUAUCACCAAAAAAAAAGGUAAGAUUAAAAAAACAAAGCAACAUUCCUGAAAAUAUACACAGUGCUAUAUUUUACACACAAGCCUGAGACAGUUUACUUACUUACUUAUAAACGUUCCUAUAUUUUUUUGGGAAGUAUUUCCAACUUGCAAACAAAAACGCAUAAAAUAAAACUGAAAACAGGACUCUAGCUGCAAAGAUUCUUAGAAGCACUGCACUACCCUCAUUCCGAAGCGCUAUACUGACCAUCUUUGAUAUAAGGCUGUGAUACUUUGGAUAUUAAAAACCAGAUUUAAUUUUUAACGGUGACCUCUUCCUAAAGCAAUCACUCAACAAGAUUAAUGCAGGCCAUGGAUUAACAAGUCUUACUUCUGUGCCUCUCCACUUGAAUUGCUAUUCAACUCUCACUAGAUGUUCACUCCCUCAAGUCAGCAGAACCAGUUAAAACAGAUCAUUCAAACCAUUUCUGGGAACAGUAGGUUAAUACACUCCAAUAACUAAAUAUGCUGAAGAUCUGGAGAAUUUGGCUCAUUAAUGACUGUAAAGUCCAAGUAUAUGUAGUUAGAAAAAAUAAAGGAAAAAAAAAAACCUUAGCAUUUUUUUAUCAAGUUUCAAACCGUACGAUCAUAUAUUUAAAACCAGAAUCCUGAAGACUCAUGUAAACUUUAAAAUUAUUUAAGUAAAAAUAACCAACUGAAAAUUAACAGUACACUUGUAAGCCACAGAAGGAGGAGCUAAGUUUAUAAAUUAUAUAGAGAAAACAUUUUUUCCCUAUUUUUAAUAUAGUAGCAUAUGUAGCUGUGGCUUAUAAAACAAAAGUUAUAAAACAUCAAAAUUAAAAUCCUUCUACUUUAUGGAUGUAAUCCCCCUACUUCAAAAGCUUUUGAAUCAGGGUAGUGGAAAGGUGAGCACAAACUCACCUCAUCCCCAUUCAUAAAAAGUUUUAGUUCCUAGGACUUUAUCUUAAAACAGUUACACAUAACUACUCCCACCUCUUACAUACCUGCGUGUAUAUAUACUUGAGUGUGUGUAUAUAUACACACAUGCACAUAAAUACACACACACACACAUAUAUAUAGUGUAUGUAUGUGUUUGUGUGUGUCUAUAUAUAUAUAUAUAUAUAUAUAUUGCAUGCUAUACCAAAUAUUUAUAUGUGAUGUUUCUGCUCCCACUGAAAUACUCAUUCAGGCAAGGUCCAUUAGUUUCCAGAAAUUCUACAUCAGGCACCAGAUAACCAGUUGCACAUCCAUUUAGUAAAUUUAAACAUUUGGCUAACAUAAAUUUUAUCUGAGCUCAAAAAAUAAAAUGAGAAAAUGUAUAAUGAAAGCAAGAAAAUUUGUGCAAUGCAAGCAUCACGCUUAACAAAUUCUAAGCAUCACUAUUUGCCAUAAAACAGAAAUAUGAAUUCAGAUUUUUCAAAAUAUGACUUCUAACCACUCUUGAUGUUAACAGUUUACUGUACUGUUUUCUGAGGAGAAAAUAGCAUGGUGGUGAAUAAUACGUUUUUUUUUUUUAACUGGUUUGGUUUGGUUUGGGUUUCUUUCUUUUUUUAGAAAAGACUUUAGCAAAAUAAAAUGAAGCUGACAUUAGACUCAGGAUAUCAAUUCUCUCAUAAAAGUUUACCAACUGUACAAGUUAAGAAAAUUAUACAAGCUUUUGUUUUAAGAAAGGACAGUUCAAUCAAGACAUAAGUACUGUAAAAAUCUUUCAAAGGCUACAAAGAAAUCUGGAAAAAUACAGAAUGUAUUUCUUUAGCCCAGAUAAGAAUAUGGAAAGACAUCAUUGAUGUCAACAAUUUUACAUAUACAAACCUGACUUGGUUUAUUUACGUUUUAAAACUUCUAUAUAUAAAAAUAGUUGUGCUCAUAACUUUCAGGAUUCAUAAGGGUUCCUUAACAAUGGGGUAUCACUUUUCCACUUAAAAUGAAUAAAAGCCUUUAUGUCUAUUCUGAUGUAUGUUUUGGAAUUCUGUAUUUCAUUUUAACUUUCCGCAAAAAAUUGAAAUUUGA